This 958-nucleotide long non-coding RNA is filed under the name Marmota monax (woodchuck). The record is from RNAcentral. Lineage: Eukaryota; Metazoa; Chordata; Mammalia; Rodentia; Sciuridae.
CCAAGCUCAGUUUCUGGACGUGUGUCAGAUGAGGGCUGCUCUCUGCUUCCAAGAUGCUGCCUUGUCGCUGUGUCCUACUCGGGGGAGGAACAUUGUCCCCAACUGUAGAAAUGACGGAAGGGGAGACAGCACUCCUUUAGAGCUGGCUCUGUACCGUCAAAGGGCCUGGAUAGGUGCCGCGCGGCCCACGGUCCCCUAGCUGCGCUGCGCCGCUGGGUCCUGCCGAGCUCGGGAGGCCGCCAGGUUCGCGCGCCCCCUGCCGCCCGGAGCGCCAGCCGCAGGUCUCCAAGGUGGGAACCUGGGGGAGACCGCGGCCAAAGAGCAGAGAGAGCGGCGGAGCUCUCGCUGGGUCCCUCGGUGCCGGACAGGACGCAGGUUGCUGGGCGUUCCCACCGUGGAUCGACUCCUGUCUGUCCCUCCGACUUAGUCGUUCCAUCGUAGUUUCAUUCGGUUGGAUUAUCCCGACAUGGCACGGAUUUAGCCACAAAGGUUUUGAAUACAGUGACACAAAUAUGAAGUGACUCAUAUGCCCAUCAAAUGAUGAAUGAGGGGCUGGGGCUGGGGCUCAGUGCUCAGUGGUAGAGCGGUAGAGCGCUAGCCUAGCUCGUGUGAGGCCCUGGGUUCAAUCCUCAGCACCACAUAUGAAUAAAUAAAUAAAGGUAUUGUGUCCAACUACUACAACCAAAAAAAAAGAUAUUAAAAAAAAGAUGAAUGGAUUAAUGAAACGCUGUGCUCUCUGCCAUGUAAUACUGUCCCUCACCCCAAACAGAACAAUUGCUGACUUGCUGGAGGUUGGGGAGUGACUAAUGGGUUCUCUCUUGGGGAUGCUGAAGAAGUUUUGGAAAUAGGUGAUGAUUGCAUAGCCUUGUGACUAUACUAAAAGCCACAGAAUUAUGUCCUCCAAAAAUAGUGAUAUAUGAAUCUCUCCCCCCCCCCUUUUUUUUUUUUUUUUCCAGGG